Molecule: long non-coding RNA, 509 nt
Filed under: Medicago truncatula (barrel medic)
Lineage: Eukaryota; Viridiplantae; Streptophyta; Magnoliopsida; Fabales; Fabaceae
Description: long non-coding RNA (MTRU_LNC004567)
Source: RNAcentral
UUUAUUAUUUUUGAUUUUUCUUUAGUCUCUUUAGUAUCCUUUUCUUUCUUCUUUGGACAUUCAUUAGCAUAAUGUCCCUCUACAUUACAUAUCCAACAUACACAUUUCUUUUUUCCUUUUGGGCAAUAUUUUCUAGGUGUUUGUCUCUUUUUCCUAAAAUACUUUUUGUUAGUAUUUUUAUAGGCUCUUUUCUUUGGAUAGGUUCUUCUUAACCUUGGUUUUCUUCUAGGAUUUUUCCUACUUCUUUUACUACAACCAUAAUUUCCGGGUAGGUCUAAUUCUAAUUUAUUACAGCAAGGUGAAGUACUACCUAGAUUUAAGUUUUUAAUUUUCUCCCUUUCUAGACACUGAUUUCUUAUUUCUUCAUAUAAAAUUUGUAUUACUCCUGCUAAGGUAUCACCUAAUUCUUCUGGUCGAGAUUUCCAUUUUUCUCUUAUACUUGUACUAAGUGGAUAAGGUCAUUUGGAUAUAAAUAUAUUUAUAUAUAUAUUAAUUGAGUUUUCCUAUCU